Molecule: non-coding RNA, 1111 nt
Filed under: Candidatus Enterococcus wittei
Lineage: Bacteria; Bacillati; Bacillota; Bacilli; Lactobacillales; Enterococcaceae
Description: Enterococcus sp. 10A9_DIV0425 Bacterial small subunit ribosomal RNA
Rfam family: Bacterial small subunit ribosomal RNA
Source: Rfam by way of RNAcentral
UAUUAUGAGAGUUUGAUCCUGGCUCAGGACGAACGCUGGCGGCGUGCCUAAUACAUGCAAGUCGAACGCUUCUUUUUCCACCGGAGCUUGCUCCACCGGAAAAAGAGGAGUGGCGAACGGGUGAGUAACACGUGGGUAACCUGCCCAUCAGAAGGGGAUAACACUUGGAAACAGGUGCUAAUACCGUAUAACAAUCGAAACCGCAUGGUUUUGAUUUGAAAGGCGCUUUACGGUGCCGCUGAUGGAUGGACCCGCGGUGCAUUAGCUAGUUGGUGAGGUAACGGCUCACCAAGGCCACGAUGCAUAGCCGACCUGAGAGGGUGAUCGGCCACAUUGGGACUGAGACACGGCCCAAACUCCUACGGGAGGCAGCAGUAGGGAAUCUUCGGCAAUGGACGAAAGUCUGACCGAGCAACGCCGCGUGAGUGAAGAAGGUUUUCGGAUCGUAAAACUCUGUUGUUAGAGAAGAACAAGGAUGAGAGUAACUGUUCAUCCCUUGACGGUAUCUAACCAGAAAGCCACGGCUAACUACGUGCCAGCAGCCGCGGUAAUACGUAGGUGGCAAGCGUUGUCCGGAUUUAUUGGGCGUAAAGCGAGCGCAGGCGGUUUCUUAAGUCUGAUGUGAAAGCCCCCGGCUCAACCGGGGAGGGUCAUUGGAAACUGGGAGACUUGAGUGCAGAAGAGGAGAGUGGAAUUCCAUGUGUAGCGGUGAAAUGCGUAGAUAUAUGGAGGAACACCAGUGGCGAAGGCGGCUCUCUGGUCUGUAACUGACGCUGAGGCUCGAAAGCGUGGGGAGCAAACAGGAUUAGAUACCCUGGUAGUCCACGCCGUAAACGAUGAGUGCUAAGUGUUGGAGGGUUUCCGCCCUUCAGUGCUGCAGCUAACGCAUUAAGCACUCCGCCUGGGGAGUACGACCGCAAGGUUGAAACUCAAAGGAAUUGACGGGGGCCCGCACAAGCGGUGGAGCAUGUGGUUUAAUUCGAAGCAACGCGAAGAACCUUACCAGGUCUUGACAUCCUUUGACCACUCUAGAGAUAGAGCUUCCCCUUCGGGGGCAAAGUGACAGGUGGUGCAUGGUUGUCGUCAGCUCGUGUCGUGAGAUGUUGGGUUA